UUCGACCUGAGCUCAGGCAAGAG
This 23-nucleotide ribosomal RNA is filed under the name Botryococcus braunii. Its description in RNAcentral is "partial 28S ribosomal RNA". The record is from RNAcentral. Lineage: Eukaryota; Viridiplantae; Chlorophyta; Trebouxiophyceae.